This 460-nucleotide ribosomal RNA is filed under the name uncultured bacterium. RNAcentral describes it as "partial 16S ribosomal RNA". It matches the Rfam family "Bacterial small subunit ribosomal RNA", at positions 338 to 795 of the family's 1533-position model. The record is from RNAcentral.
CCUACGGGUGGCAGCAGUGAGGAAUAUUGGUCAAUGGACGAGAGUCUGAACCAGCCAAGUAGCGUGAAGGAUGACUGCCCUAUGGGUUGUAAACUUCUUUUAUAUGGGAAUAAAAUGUUCCACGUGUGGGCUUUUGUAUGUACCAUAUGAAUAAGGAUCGGCUAACUCCGUGCCAGCAGCCGCGGUAAUACGGAGGAUCCGAGCGUUAUCCGGAUUUAUUGGGUUUAAAGGGAGCGUAGGUGGAUUGUUAAGUCAGUUGUGAAAGUUUGCGGCUCAACCGGAAAAUUGCAGUUGAAACUGGCAGUCUUGAGUACAGGAGAGGUGGGCGGAAUUCGUGGUGUAGCGGUGAAAUGCUUAGAUAUCACGAAGAACUCCGAUUGCGAAGGCAGCUCACUGGACUGCAACUGACACUGAGGCUCGAAAGUGUGGGUAUCAAACAGGAUUAGAUACCCGAGUAGUC